Molecule: ribosomal RNA, 253 nt
Filed under: uncultured bacterium
Lineage: Bacteria
Description: partial 16S ribosomal RNA
Rfam family: Bacterial small subunit ribosomal RNA
Source: RNAcentral
UACGUAGGGUGCGAGCGUUAAUCGGAAUUACUGGGCGUAAAGCGUGCGCAGGCGGCUUUGCAAGACAGAUGUGAAAUCCCCGGGCUCAACCUGGGAACUGCAUUUGUGACUGCAAGGCUAGAGUACGGCAGAGGGGGAUGGAAUUCCGCGUGUAGCAGUGAAAUGCGUAGAUAUGCAGAGGAACACCGAUGGCGAAGGCAAUCCCCUGGACCUGUACUGACGCUCAUGCACGAAAGCGUGGGGAGCAAACAGG